CGGUGUGUUGUGGACUCGUGGUGCUGGCUGCCGCUGUUGAGGCGGCCGAGAACGGGCGGUAGGGAGCGGGCGGAGCUCGGCCUGCCUCUACCUGGCCAGCGCCACAGUCGGCGCGGGCCGCGCCCGCCGCCGUCAACUGCCCUGAGCGCCUGCUGAGGCCGAGGGAGACGUCGGGGCCUGCACCUGGAGGGAGCCUGCCGCGCUGGCCCCAAGGAGGGGGCGUUGCCAUGGCGACAGCCUCUCCCGCUGCUGACGGGGGGCGGGGGCGGCCCUGGGAAGGAGGGCUGGUCUCCUGGCCCCCUGCCCCUCCUCUUACGCUCCCCUGGACUUGGAUGGGCCCGAGUUGGGGGCAACACCCUGGGCAUUGGGGCCUUCCGGCUCUCACAGAACCUUCGGCGUCCCCAGCUGCCAGUCUUGGCAUCUUCGAAGUAAGGAGAGUUUUAGAUGCUUCUGGAUGUUCAAUGCUAGCACCUUUGCAGACUGGAGCAGCUCGAUUUUCUUCGUAUUUGCUUUCAAGAGCAAGGAAAGUGCUGGGCUCCCACUUAUUUUCUCCCUGUGGUGUUCCGGAGUUCUGCUCCAUAUCCACCAGGAAGCUGGCGGCCCACGGCUUUGGCGCAUCCAUGGCGGCAAUGGUGUCGUUCCCUCCCCAGAGGUAUCACUACUUUUUAGUGCUGGAUUUUGAGGCCACGUGCGACAAGCCACAGAUUCAUCCUCAGGAAAUCAUUGAAUUCCCUAUCCUGAAGCUGAAUGGCCGGACCAUGGAGAUUGAGUCUACCUUUCACAUGUAUGUCCAGCCCGUAGUCCAUCCACAGCUUACCCCCUUCUGUACAGAGCUCACCGGGAUUAUUCAAGCCAUGGUGGAUGGCCAGCCAAGCCUACAGCAAGUACUGGAGAGGGUCGAUGAGUGGAUGGCGAAGGAAGGCCUCUUAGAUCCAAACGUCAAGUCAAUUUUUGUCACCUGUGGAGACUGGGACUUAAAAGUCAUGCUCCCAGGUCAGUGCCAGUACUUGGGCUUGCCAGUGGCGGAUUACUUCAAGCAGUGGAUUAAUCUGAAGAAGGUGUCUGAUCAUCCUGGAGGUCAGGUGGAAUAGAAGAAAGUGUGGCGAGUCCUGGUGUGGGAACUGAGGAAAGGUUAAUGGAACUUCUGAAUUUUCUGUAAAAAGGAUCCUAAGGACUACCCUUAGCCAUUUUAACAUCCCUUUCACCCUGAGGUUUGCUCUUCUGUUUGAGCAUUCAGGGUAUUCCCCCAAAUUGAGAUUUAACUCAGCACUACAUUGACAGUUGAGGCUGGAAAUGAUGAGAUCUGUAGGAGUGGAUGAUGGUAGGAGUAGGUUGUACCCAUUUUGUCCCAAAAAGAGAGUUGUGAUUUGGACAGUAGGUAGAGGGAGAGAAGAGGAGACUUUUUGGAGAGAAGAGUCUGGAGAGUGUCUGCAAGAUGCUCCCUCAAGGGGCUGGCGCUGUGGCACAGCAGGUUAAAACUACAGCCUACAGUGCCAGCAUCCCAUAUAGGUGCCAAUUCAAGUCCUUGCUGUUCCACUUCUGAUCCAGCUUCCUGCUAUUGCACCUUGGAAAGCAGCAGAAGAUGGCCCAAGGCCUUGGGCCCCUGCACCCACGUGUGAGACCCAGAUGAAGCUCCUGGCUUCUGGCUUUGGGCCUGGCCCAGCCCUGGCCAUUGUGACCAUUUGGAAAGUGAACCAGCAGAUGGAAGAUAUCUCUAUCUUCUCUCUGUCUCUGUGUAUCUCUCUCUUUCAAAUAAAUAAAUAAAUAAAUCUUUAAAUAAGUAAAUAAAAAGGUGCUCCCUCGAUAGGACCUGCCUCUAAACAUAUCACCAGACCCCUGGUUUUCUGCUGAGGCACUUUUCCUGUUCAGGCUCUGUCCUUGGGGAAGCCUUGACUCCCCUGAGUGUCUCCUCCCACUAAGCCAGAUUGAGCAGGGCAGGGCUCCCUUCUUCACAUGCCAGUCCCUCUUUCCACCCCUACCCCUACCCCUCCAAAUUGCCACGAGUGUUCUGAGGAAGGAAGGGUUGCAGUGCCCUACUCUGAUGGAUUAUGCAGCCAUUGGGUGCGCAGGGCUGUCUGAGCUUUCCCAUGUGGAGUGCUUCUGCUCCGGCUCUGUUGCAUUCCAGAGAGAAGGUUGACCUGUGUUUGGUCAGGGCUUGUUUUGGCAAAGUCAAGAAAGGAUGGAAGUAUCGUGGGCAGCUUGGACCUGGGAAUAGAGAACUCAGAAGAUAGAAUCCCAGUGUAGUAAAGAAAACCCAGAGUCACUACAGGGUAAUGCAGUUGUAAAUGGUGUUGCCCUGCAGAGUCCAGAAUGAGGGAGUGAAUUCUCCAGAAGAGCUCAGAUGGGCAUGUGGAAGGGGGACCUGGGACUGGUCUGUGAGGAGCAUGGCGAGCAUGCUGUGGAGAAAAGGGUGGGUGAGCAUCUGGGCCAGAGAGCAAAUAUCAUCGGAGGUGAGGUGAGUUGUGUUAGGGUAGGACUAGGGCCCAGGGGGGCUUCCUGUUCCUGUUGGCUUCAUCUUAAUUUGGAGGUAUGGACCAUGCUGCUGCUUUAGGAAGCCUGGCUGGCUGCUGUGGGCUUGGAGCCUCAGGUUGAAAAGAGGUACAGAGAAGAGCCUUUGGGAAUGGAUCCCAAGCCCUCCCUCUGCUCUAUUCCCUUCUCUGUUCUGCCAAAAGAGCAAGGAAGGGGUGAGGAUUCAGGGUAGAGAAACAGCUCCGGUGAAGCUUCAGGCCUGCUUGCUGCACCCUUGCUAAGCCUAUGCCCAGGCCUGUUUUGUACCCAGACCCAGCCCUCUGCCAAGGGCCAGCUUGGUUCCAUAACCUGGUUGGGAGGCUGGAAGGAGACCGGGAAGCCCAGAGACUCAUUUUCACUGGAAUUUGACCUAAAGCAGGAUUGGAAGGGAAGAAAAGAAUUUGAACAAAAGUGCAGGCAGGAAGGAGCUGUUAACGAGCCUUUCUUUCUCUUUGGGGACGGAGAGGAGCGCAUAGCGGGGCGCAGCCGCCAGCUCUCCUCUGAGCGGCUCUCUAAGGUAGCUGCAGACUCUGGCCGCUGCCUUCACGCGCGCUCUCUGCUUUUUUCCCUCUCCUCUUUCUCGGCUCUCUCUAUUAUGGGGACUUGCUCCAGCUCUUUCUCUCUCUUCUGUCUCUCCUUUUGUUCUCUCUUUGUCUAUUUAUCACACUGUGAAGGUUGAAAGAGAUGUUAUUAAUCUGGGAGAAUGAAGGCAGGAUUAGUGGUAUGAAUCGGAUUUUGAGAGGUGUAAUGAUAGAAAGACUCGCUCGGCUGGCGGCCUGCGUGAGCUUGAUAAAUGGGGAGCACUCCAGACUGACUCGCGCCUUCCUCCGCGCUGUGCGCCCUGCCCGCUGGGGCGUGCCGCGCUCUCAGAUCUGCCAGCCGGCCCACCCCGCUCCUACCUGAACCGGAGCAAAAAGCCAAGGGUAAAGCAGACACAAAUAUCUCCCAUCGCACUUGGAGACAUCAUUGCUUUCAGCACCCUUUUCAAGUGGAGGCCUGUCGAGUUCUCACAGGACUGUGGGCAGAGGGAAGAGGAACCCCGACCUCAAGCCAAAACCAUCCACCCGCAUGGAGGGCCUGAGUAGAGCUUCCCGUCUGCCUCUGAAAUGGACGUCAGGGGUUAAGCCCUGGACCAGCCAACCAGGAGUUGCAGGACCAUAUGUAGUAUAUGAUUAGGCAGAGUGCUGUUGUGGAGGUCAGGGUAGAACGUGGAGGGUAGUGGGGAGAGAAUUCCAAAAUGGCUUCCUGAAGGUAGAAUCCUGGCAGACAGAUUGGGAGCUGGUUGAAGAAGGUAAAUGUUUUAGGUGAUGGACUAGUUUAAACACAGAAGUGGGGGCAGAAAGAAACCACUGCUGUAGAAGCUUGAAGCCCCUCAGACCUUGUAAAUUUUUAACCAGGAAGGGGCCUUAAAAAUCCAGUAAUUAAGCCCCCUCAUUUUCCAUUGAGGAAACUGUGGGAGGCCUGGUGCCUAGAAUUACCAUUUCCUGAAAUGAUUCUCGAUCUUCAAGUCUUCAAGUCCUGUUGCUUAUUCUACAGGUGCCCCCUUCCUGUCAUUCUGGGGCAGUAUAGUGAGCUGCCGCCUCUCCUCUGUGGCUUUGCUCACAUCCCUUCAGCCGUGGUCUUUGUGAGCAGAAGAUCCUGGUGUAGCCGCCUGCUGCUUGCUGCUCAGCUCCCCUCUGCAGGAUCUGUGGCUUGCAGUCCCCCUCACACCGAUGUCCCCACUCAGCCUGCGCUCGAGGAUCAGAAAGCUGGCUCUGGGCUCCAGAGGCCUGAGGGCUUCCCUCCUGGAUAGCCCUGCUGUGAUUCUCUCUACACACUUGUUGUUCACCAUCACUGGGCACAGAGUGGCUUCUCUCUGUCUUUCCCCUGAAAGAACUGUGAGCUCUGUGAGGGUAGGCUCUACCUGCGAUUCCAUUUGAGUUGCCAGGACUAGCGGGCAUUCUGUGAAUGUGUGAAUGUUCCAUGAAUGAAUGCUUAUGUAGUUUCUUCCUUUCCUUAUAGACAGAAAGUGGUCUUGGUUCUCUCAGUUUUUCCAAGGCCUGACUACCCUUAGGUAUAGAGAGGAAUAGGUGUGCAAAAGAACUGAGCUUUAACAUUGUUAGAGUGCUGCAAGCUUCAUAGCGUGAUGGUGGGAGGCCCUUGGGUGGCCUUGCUGUGUCUUCUGAGGCCCUGCAUGGGUUGCAUCCCUGCUUUCCUCAUCAGCCUGUUUCAUGCUUGCUUUCUUUGUUCCAAGGAUACUGGCCUUGAUUGGAUUGCCUUCCUUUGCUGGGGCAUAGUUUGCCUACAGGCAUUAGUAUGUCCCCAGUCAGUUUCCUGUCAUGAGGGAGCUAUUCCCAACUGGGCCAAACUCCCCUCUCUUGACCCAACACAACAACUUAUGUUUCCUCUUUGAGCCCUUUUUCUGGCUGCAACUUAAUGAUUUGUGUGGCUACUAAGUUCCAGUCUUCUUUGUCCAGUAGACUGCAAGCUCUCUGAGGAUGGUGCUGUGUCUCUGUGUGCACAUGGCCUGGCAUGUUAUAGGUUCUCAAUAAAUACUUGCUCUGAAUCAGUCAGUGGGCUUCCAAAGCAUGGCCUCUUCACUUUCUACCUGGGUAGAGUGAGGACUGAUUGGACAAGGACAGGGACAGGGGCAGGAUGCUGGGUGUGCCCCAGAGGGAAGAUUCUUUGGGCCUUAGCUCUGGAGGUGCUGGUGUUCCACCUUCUCAUCUUUCAGGCUUCCUUUUUUCCCUCUCAGCAUCAGAGAAGAGGAGGGCUUCAUCUGACUCUGCAGGCUUUUACUCUCUCCCUGGGUGACCCUACCCACCCCUAGUUUCGUGUGCCACUCACCUGCUUUCUUAGGACUUCCUUGUCUAAGCCCUCAGACCGCUGAACUGCGCUCCCAGCCUAGUGUGUCCCACCAAAGGCCAUCUUGGGCCUUCGUGGUGCUUGCCCUCAAUUGUAGCCAGGAUUUGUCCUUCAGGAUUCUGGGAGUAUCAGGGUCCUGUCUGUGUAGUUUUACAAGCAUCUCUGCCUUUCCUUCUAGCCUGGGAGCUGCUUGAGGGCAGUGGCCUGGUCUGCUUGAGCUGUGUACCCCCAGCACCUAGUUGCUCAAAAAAAGCGUGUGUAAUGUGGGAGUAAUCCACUCAAGAGGGAGGGGGAUCUGGAAUGAAUGUUCUAAACACCCUUCUCCUUUUUGCCAGGAAGGAAUCAGUGAAGGUGGGUGUGCUCUGUAAACACGCCUUCCUGUGUGAGGGGUGGGCAGCUGGUGGUGGUGGUGUUGCAUGCUCAAUAAAGGAUUAUAUUUUAAUUUGGAAAGCACUUUAGAAACUUAAAGUGCUUUGCUUAAGUGCUGACUGCUAUUAGUGUCUCCUUUUUAUUAGGAAAAAGGACAUGAUUUUUGUCUUUUAUCUUCAGGCCUGUCCAACUUCUGAGAGUCAAACUUAGCAAAAUGCCUGCCCCUCACUGAGGACUAGUUACAUGCCAGGUUCAAAGCUCUGGACUUGAAACAUAGAAUUCUGCUUUGCAGACUGGUUCUGACACCCCUGAGGGGAUUAGCCCUGACAGCUCCGUAUUGGGAAGGGGGUAGGAGAGACAGGGUCAUCUGACAUAGUUCAAGCUGCAGUCUCUAGCACCUCCUGUCCUUAUCUAGGCCUGGGCAAGGGGGAGGACAGAAGAACCUAGGCUGUUUUGGGGGUACAGGGAAGCAACCUUAGUGAUUAUCAAAAAACAAAACAAAACAAAACAAAAACAACAUUUACAGUGUAAUAUGAAGGGCCAGACCUUUGGGAGAGAAUUGGGGAGGAGGGAUUGGGUUUGUUCAGCGUGGUCAAGCAUGAUAGGACCAGCCGGCAGAGGCAGCACAGCUGCUGGCCCUGAUGAUGUAAGAGCCGGCUGAGGGCUGAGUCAGAUAGAGGGAGAGCAUGUAGUAGUCGCAGAUGGAGCUACAGGAGGCCGCAAGCUGGGAACUUGCUGUAGGCCUUGCAGAUGCUUGGGAGAGCCUUGCUGGUUUGAAGAAAUGAUAACAUCCCUCCCCAUGUAGAUAAUCUAGUGCUGCAGUCACAGGAGUGUAGGAGUACAGGAGGCUCAAGUGAGCCUUGUUGGAUCUCUCUGUGUGGGCUCUGCCCCAGGCUCAUUCCUGAGCAGCCACUAGAGAGACCAAUACUCUGGUCUCAGUCUGGACUGUCCCUGUCUGCCCUGGAAGCCCUGCCCAGGGCUGGACAUGGAGAGGUGGGAGCUCUGGCCCAGCUUGCUGGUGCCCUAAAGACUCCAACUCCUAAUCGGGUCCUAAUCUAGGGGAGCUAGAAUGGGUGUGGGGUGGAGGGAAUACCCUGAGCCUACUGCCUUAACUGAAUUUCCAUACCUCCUGUUGUUAAUUAUAGAGAUGUAAUAAUGCGAUUAGUGCACGAUUAAAAAAAAUCCCUGAUAUGAUUACCAUGGAUUUAAUAUCACAUGAUAUAUCAUUAUAUCGUUAUGCAGUGACAGAUGUAAUUGAAAUACACUUAUUGGAGCCGGGGGUGGUGUUUCAUUCAAUCCUCAGCACCCCGGGGAGGCAAGGGCUGACUAAAAAGAAGCAGUGGGAGAGGAAAUUGUAAUGAAAACAAAGAAAACUCCAAAUGUAGCUUUCACCCUGGGCAUCUGGCUCAGACUGACGUGCUGCCUUAGACUCUGUGAUGGUGCACGUGGAGCUCACCUCCUCUGCAGGCACUGAGGCAGCCUGGCUCCUGGGCUGCUUAUCUUGCUCUAAUCCCAGAAACCUCAGUGUCCCCAAGCCCCCUCUGACUCAGCAGUGAAGCCAAGGGAUCCGGGAACAUGAAGGAGAUAACUCCAUCCAAAAAUACUCAGGACCCUAAGGGAUCAGUUGAACUGGCAUCUGUCCUCCACUCCUGGGGUCCCCCAGGUCUAUAUAUGGUGGAACCCAGAGCUGUGGCACAGCCCCCUCCCUUUGCUGUGGUGGUGACCCGGCACACUAGAGGCAGCAGUACUGUUGUAGGCAGUGAGCAGCGAGGUUAAGUUCACAGGAUAAUUAUCCCACUCAAGGUCUGUUGAUGGGCAGAGGCAGCAGCAGCUCGGGGUCCCCUGAAGUAUGUUGGUAGCCAGAGAACACUGCACACAACAGAACUACCAGCUGGGGUUAGGGCAGAUGGGCUUGUGUCACCCGAUGCAAGUGCCCAUCAUUUUGCUGCCAUCUCUGUGCUAGAAUCAGGUAAGGGGCUACCCAUUGGCUGAAGAGUUUAGAAAAGGAGAAAGGAAGCAGAACAGUCUCCUUUCUAAACACUGGCAGCUGAGCACCCAGCUACAAGAAUGGCCAUGGGAAGAGUGCUGUUGUGCUGGGCAAGAACAGCAGUGGUUCCUGGAGGAGGCUGGAGUAGGACUGGCCGAGCAGCAGCAGUGGAAACUGGGUGUUCGUGCUUGGCAGAAGUGAGCCCAGGGAGAUGUCUUUCUGCUGCAGCCUUCCCUCGGUGAAGGCCAUUCAGACAGCAGACGCCGCCCUUCCUUAGAGGGACCACAAGUUUGUGAACAGAUCAGUGUUGCAGGGCUGUUCAGAGGGCUUAAAGGAAAGAUGGGUCAGGAAGACUGUGAAGAAAGGUACUUUUGAGUUGUGUAUUGAAAGAUUAGGACACAGAAUGGGAGAAAGCAGAAGGCAUUCUAGGAAUUGCUUCCUAGAAUUGCUUGAAUUAAGUCUUGGAAGCAUGAACCAACAUUCUCAGGUCUUGAGCAGGAAGGAAGAGGAGGGAGUCAAGAUUGACUCCCAUAUUUCUGGCUUGGUAGACCGGGUGGAUGGUAAUGGCUUUCACUGGGAUUUGGGGAUCCAGGAGAAAAAGCAGUUUAAAGAGAUGUUGAAGUGGGUUUUAAACAUGCUGAGAAUCAAGUGUCUGUGAGAAAUCCAAAGUAGACAAUAGAAAAUACAUUUAUAUAUACAUUGAAUAUAUUUAAGUAUGUUAAAUUUUGUUAAAUUUGUAUAUAUUAAAUAUAUAUUUGAAAUAUUUAUAUAAAAUGGUAUUAUUUCAUUUAUUCAUAUGAGAGAGAGCACUCUCAUUUGCCUGUUCGUGCCCCAAAUGCCUGAGGCUUGGCUAAGCCUGAACCUGGGAGCUGGGAACGCAAUCUAGGUCUCCUGCAUGGCAGGGACCCAAUUAUUAGAGUCAUCACCUGCUCUCCCAAGAUCUGCAUUAGCAGGAAGCAGGAGUCGGGAGCUAGAGCCAGGAAUCAAACCCAGGUACUCUGAUGUGGGACCCAGGAGCCUUAACCACUAGGCUGAACACCUGCUCCAGAACGUGUAUGUGUGUGUGUUAUAUAUAAUUAUUACAUCUUAUUUUAUAAUAUGUGUGUAUAAGGUUGAAGACAAGGGAGUUGAGAUCACACAAGGAGAAUGUUAGCACAUAGAGAAAAAAGGGAGGAGUGCGUGUAGAGCAUAUGAGUGCAUGAAUAAGAUGAGCAAAUGCAGAAACUACAGCGGCAAUUGUGAGGGACACAGGAGACAAGUGGGACAACUGAAGGAGUGGAAUAUCAGGAAAACCAAAGGUGGGGAUUCAGAGAUGAAGUAGGCUGCAGAGUGGUGAGAGCAUGGAAGAACACGAGGCUGUCCAGACAUAUGGGGGCGUGGGGGGCAGCAUGGUGAGGAUUGUUGACCUUGACAGGGGCUAAGCUCCGUGGUAAGGAUGGACAAUAGACCUCAAGGAAUUAAGUAAUGAUGGGCAGGUAAAUGGAGAUAAUUUUGAGAAGUUUGGUUGUUAACAGGAAAACAAGGAAUAAGUGGAUGGAGACAGGUGAAUGGGGGGGGGUGUUAAAAAUAAUAAUCUAAUAUUUAUAUAACUUUCAAAGAGCAAGGCACAGUUUUAAGCACUUUACAUACAAUAACUCAUUCAAUCCUCACAUCAGCCAUAGAGGACAGGAACCAUUAUUACCCUCACUUUACAAGAGGAAAUUAAGGCACAGAGAAGUUAUGUAGGGCCGGCACCAUGGCUCACUUGGUUAACCUCCGCCUGUGAUGCCGGCAUCCCAUAUGGGCGCCAGGUACUAGUCCCAGUUGCCCCUCUUCCAGUCCAGCUCUCUGCUGUGGCCUGGGAAGGCAGUGGAGGAUGGCCCAAGUGCUUGGGCCCUGCACCCGCAUGGAGACCAGGAGGAAGCACCUGGCUCCUGGCUUCAGAUCGGCACAGCACCGGUCGUGGUGGCCAUUUGGGGGAUGAACCAAUGGAAGGAAGACCUUUCUCUCUGUCUCUCUCACUAUUUAAUCUCUACCUGUCAAAUAAAUUUUAAAAAAAUAUAAAAAGAAGUUAUGUAAAGAUAAUAAAGAUUCAGGCCUGUGGUUGAAUUCUAGCAGGAAGGAGCCAGCAGAGAGAGGGAGGUUAGAAACUAUAGAAAGGGGAUGCUAGAUGGACCCGGGGCCUGAGGAGGCACUUAAGGCUAUCUUCUGCUUUCCCAGGUGCAUGAGCAGUGAGCUGGAUCAGAAGCAGUGCAGCUGGGACUUGAACUGGCACUCUGAUAUGGGAUGCCAGCCUUGCAAACAGCAGCUUAAACCACUGCACCACAAUGGCAGCCCUGUCUUUCUUUACCUUGUCUCCUGGCUUCUCUGUGUGGUCUCCGCAUGGGUUUCGGCUUCCUCACAGCAUGACUGCCACAGGACAACUUAAGGUUCCAGGGCAAUUACUAAGAGAGAUGGAAGUGGAAGGCACCUGAGCAUUUCUUUUUUUUUUUUUUUUUUUUUUUUAAGAUUUAUUUAUUUAUUUGAAAGAGUUACACAGAGAGGAAAGGCAGAGAGAGAGAGAGAGAGGUCUUCCAUCCGAUGGUUCACUCCCUGAUUGGCCACAACGGCCAGAGCUGCGCCGAUCUGGAGCCAGGAGCUUCUACCAGGUCUCCCACAUGGGUACAGCGGCCUGAGGACUUGGGCCAUCUUCUACUGCUUUCCCAAGCCAUAGCAGAGAGCUGGAUUGGAAGUGGAGCAGUCAGGUCUUGAACCAGCACCCAUAUGGGAUGCCAGUGCUUCACGCCAGGGCGUUAACUUGCUGUGCCACAGCACCGGCCCCCUGAGCAUUUCUUAAUAGUCACAUUACUUCUGCAGUGCACUAUCAGUUGAAAUAGUCACAAAGCCCACACUGAUUCCCAGGCAGAGGAGGGGCAUCGACUCCCUCUGUUGAUUACAGAUAUGUCAGAAUCACUGUGUGAGAAGAGCUUGUACGAUGGGAGACAGUGUUACAGCCAUCACUGGAAAAUACAGUCUGCCACUGCUGGUGUUGGGUUGAAACUGGAGAAGGGAGAGUACAAUGAAAGUCAAAAUGUGUGUUAAGUGGUAGCACUGGGAAUAUCUGGUGAGUGUUCCUGAGUGACCUCAGAUACACCUGGGGAAAGUACUGCUAUCCCAUUUUGUAGUACAAGAAACUGAGGCACAAAGAGGCUUAAUAGUUCUUUCAAAAUUAUAGUGCUAAUACCCGGCAGAACUAGGAAUCAAAUCCCGAUUUGUAUGACCCCUGGGUGCUGAGCAUACUGCCUUUAGGAGACCUGGACUACUGGGUGUGCUCUAGGUAUGCAUGGCAUAUGCCAUUCCAGUAUGAACUGUGGCCUAGGCACUUGAUUCCCUAGCUACAGAAGUGUUAGUUGGAUAAAAAGUUUAGCAGUAUUUAUGUCUGUCAGACUUUCUCCCCCAUUCUUGAGAAUAUUACCUCUAUAGCAUCACCUCUGUUGGGUGUUAUGAAAAUGGCAGGUGUUUGGUAUGGUUCCUAGUCCAGGGAAAUGGCCCAUCAGUCCUAGGCCCACAGAGGGUGACAAAGUCAUCCAGAGAUAUGAUUAAAGGCCUGCUCCUCCUCAUCUCCCACAUGGGGAGGCCACACAGGCUGAAUGUGUUGGUGCACCUGUGUUGGUGGUAGCUCUGAAGCUCUGGGUUUUCUGGAAGUUACAGAGCAGUCUGUACUUCUGUCUGCAGACUGAGCUGGGUUCUAACCCUUCGGCCCAACCACUGCCAUGCCCGUUCUGUGUCACCCCAUGCUCAGUGCCCUGCUAGGUAGUGCACGGGUGGGCAGAGACACCAUAGCAGCUGUUGAUGCCUCGUCUUUCCUCUUUGAAGGAUCUGAUGCUGCUGCCGACGAGGGCUACUUCAUCUAUUAAACCCAAUACACUUGUCGCAGCUGCUAAGCCCCCGUAAGCCGCCGGGCGCCGUGUUUGUGAUGGGACUGACAGUGCAUGGAGGAGGCUGAUUAUACACGAUUCCAUUUCGCGGGCCCAGCAAUGUAAUUUCACAGGGCGAUCAGCGUUUGCAUGUAAUAGCAGGCUGUGCUGAGGUGUCAGAAUAUUAAAGGCGCUAAUGGCAAAGCUCCCUGUUACACAGGGGGCCACCCGCCGCGCCUACAGCAGGGCUGUGCGGCAGGCCCGUCGCAGAUGGCUGGCCACUAAGCUAAUGGGGCAGCAGCCAAGGCGGGCAGAGCCACAAGAGGGGAGAGCCAGCCGGGAGCAGCUCGGCACCUGCUUCCCCGCGCAUGGAAAUUACAGCAGCCCAGGGGAAGGGAAGUGUGCGUGCUUGCCUGGCACAGGGCUGGGCUGGGCUGGGUUGGUAGACCCAGCGUCUUUUCCCCUAACUCCACCCAUCCAUGUGGCUCAGCGUCGGUACCUGCCCUGGAUGGGAUUCAGGAGCUCCUCGCUCAUCCUCCCGCCUGUCCCACCCUCUGUCUAAGUCUCCCCAGGGUUUAGCUGCUGACUGUGCACAAUUGGGCAGGUGGACCUGAGAGCUGAAAGAGGUGCCACAGGAGAAGUGGCUCCUAGAGAAUUUGGAAGCAGCAUUCGUUGGGAGAGGUGCUCAGGUGCAAGCUCUUGGAGAGAACUGUGAGAACAGAUUCCUGCCCCAUGCAGCUCAAGGCUUACAGCUUCGCCAUGGGCUGCUGGCC
Molecule: non-coding RNA, 12356 nt
Organism: Oryctolagus cuniculus (rabbit)
Lineage: Eukaryota; Metazoa; Chordata; Mammalia; Lagomorpha; Leporidae
Source: RefSeq, a predicted model, not a curated record